CUGAGGGUGGCACUGAGGCACCGGUGUAACAUUUGUCCACCUCCCUAGUCUGUUUUUCUUCCUGACGGGCUGUGUGUACGUGCCGAGUCUGUUGUUCCUCCUGACGGGCUGUGUGUACGUGCAUUAGAGAAGGGCAUUAUUGCUUCUGAUGCAACGACAGGCACUAAAAACAGCUCCGGGGGCAUUGCUAAAGACCUAAACUACAUUCUCGAGCUUUCCAUUCUCUCUCUCUCUCUCUGGCAGGUGUGAGUGACAGCCGACAAGGUGGUGGUGGUGGUGGUGAUGGCACAUGUACAGUGAGUUGAGAAGGCUCCUAGACAGACUACAGAGGGAGACUGGAGCUCUUACCCUUACCCGUAGAGGAUAGAAGAUGCCCCUUGCACUACCAGGAUGUCCCAGGAACCCCAAGGAUGCCAGGAACCUUAGGGGAACAUCCUACUAGGGGUUCCACAAAUAAGGAUGGGAAGUGAAGGAUUGAGAAUGCUCCAGAAGACUUGUAACAGUGCCACUACAUCACCACUACCACAGACAGCAUGGUGAUGAGUUACAGUGUCACCACCACCUCUACAUCACACUGCAAAGUUACAUCACUGCAAAGUUACAGCAUGGUGCAAUGUUACACCACCACCACAUCACAGCAAGGGUUAAGACUUUGUGUGUCGGGAAGGCUCAAUAAAUAGUAGCUGGUGACGGCCGGCCCUCGUCCUGCCCCUGGUCGGCCUCUUGAUGACGUCAUCAGCAGGUCCCAGCUUGCAUCAGCCUGGCCAGUUCAAACAUUAUUUUCCUCAGCUCACUUAUCUCGCCUGACAAGUUUAUCGGUGUCCACACUAGCCUGCCAUACCCUGCACUCCACAGCCAGUGGGGCGAAGCAGGCAGUGCUACACACACACCACUGGAAUACACCAGCAAGCAAAGCAAGAGAGACGCAGCCAGCAAAACGUGUGUGUGUGUGUGUUUGAGUGGCUGCAGGACAGGUUGUGGUGGGUAGGUGCCUUCCUAUGGCUUACUGUCCUGCCCCAUAUUUAAGGAGAUAGAGCCCUGUCAUCUAACACUAGAGGGUAGAGUGUAGCUUCAAUUGUUUGUGAAUUAAUGAGUCUGUAAUAGUGAAGAACAUUAGGGAGCAUCUAGACAAACACAACUUGAUGAAUCAGUCUCAGCACGGCUUUACGAAGGGAAAGUUGUGCCUUACAAACUUGUUGGGUUUUUAUAGUCAAGUUUAUGAGGCGGCAGAUAAUGGUGAUAGCUAUGACAUUUUAUACCUAGAUUUCAGUGAAGGUACUGCUUCAGAGGUUCUCGAAAAAGGUUAGGGCACAAGGGAUAGAGGGAAGAAUAUUAGACUGGAUAAAGUCAUGGUUAGACGAUGGGCAGCAGAGUUGUAAUAAACCGUUCUAAUUUGAAGUGGGGCUAAGUAGUUAGUGGGGUUCUACAGGGAUCAGUUCUAGGGCUAUUGUUAUUUCUAAUAUAAUGUAAAUGACUUAUUGGAACUUGUAGUGAUAUUAGAAAAUUUGCAGAUGACAGGAAGAUAAGUAGAUUCAUUUGGUAGUAUUUGGAUGCCAUCACUCUACAGGCAGAUUUAGAUAGGAUGAAUGAACGGACAGACAGAUGGUAAAUGAGUUCAACAUGAACAAAAGCAAAGUACUUAGCAUAGGUAGAGGCAAUCCACACAACAGGUACACAGUAAGCAAAGAGGCCCCGGCAGGUUCAGAAUAUGAAAAAGGUUUAGGAGUUAUAGUUUACUCCAAUCUUGGUGUAAGAAAACAAUACAUAGAGGCUUGAAAUAAGGGAAAUAGGAUACUAGGAUUAAUUUUUAGGAGCUUUAAAAGAGAAGUUUGGAAAUAAUGUUAUAUUUUGGUGUUGGUCAGACUGCAUCUAGAUUAUGGUGUACAGUUCUGGUGCCCAUGUUGUAGGAAGGAUAUGGGUCAGUACAAAGGAGGAUGUCUAAAAGGAUACAAGGGAUGAGGGAGAUUCUCUAAUAAGUGAGAUUAAAGAUACUAAAUUUGCAUUCCUUAGAGACAUAGGUUAAGAGGGGACCUGAUAGCAGUCUUGAAGUGGUGUAGGGGUUAUAACAAAUAAGGGGACCAGAUAACAGGGGUUAUAACAAAGUAGACAUGAGCAAAGUUCUUGAGAUCAGUAGCUAGGAUAGAACCAGAAGUAAUGGGUUCAAGCUUGAGAAAUUCAGGUUGAGGAAAGAGAUGAGGAGGUGGUGGUUGUGUGGUUGGUGAAUGGAAGGGACGCAGUAAUGGUGAUGUGAGAGUAUUGGUGAGUCAGUAGGGAGCUGUGAAGGGUGAUGGGACAAAUAUAUGGAUGAGGACGCUAGAUGGAAUGAAUUAGCUUUGUUCACACAGGGAUUGACAUGUGUAUCUUGCAGCUUUCCUCAUUGUUUGGUGUUGUUACUGGGAGUGGUGUGUGUGGUGAAAAUGUAUUGGUGUUAAGUUGUGGUGUGGUGUUGUUAUAGUGGUGAGCAGUGUGUGUGGUGUUGUGGGAAUAUAUUGGGUGUUGAUUGGGUUGUGGUGUGGUGAAGAGAGAUUACUGGUGAGGUGAAGAGUGUGGUGAUUGAUUGGUGUGGUUGUGGUGAGGGAUGGUGAACAAUAUUAAUGGUGAGGAAUAAUUUAGUGAUGAGGUAUGGGGAAAAAUUCUUGGUGUGGUGAAGAGGGUAAAUGGUGAGGGGAAUAGUGGUGUGGUGAUUGAUUGCAUGGUUAGUGAAACAUGGUGAAAAAGAUUAGUGGUGAGAUAUGGUGAAAGAUUUUUGGUGUGGUGAAGAGAAAUGGUGAGGAGAAUAGUGAUGUGGUGAAAAAGAUUAUUGGUGUGGUGGAUAAUUAGAUCGUGGUGGUGAGUGUGGUGAAAAAGAGUACUGGUGAGGUGGAUAUGGUGAAUAACUUGGUGGUGGUGGUGGUGGUGGUGAGAUAGGGAGUGUGUGAUGAAUAACUCGAUGUGGUGGUGUGGUAUGGUGAGUGUGGUGAAUAACUUGGGUGUGGUGGUGUGGUGAAAGGUAAGUGGUGAUCAGUGGUGGUGUUAGGAUCUCAUUAAUCAGUAAUUGGCCACACCAUACCAAUAGAACACAAUUUAAUCAGCAAUGGGGGUAAUAAUUAGUAAUGGGGGGCUGAUGGGAUUACCUUUAUUGAUUCACCUGCAUCAAUACUCGUCAAUUGGUCUCAGGUGGGAUUAGGGAAGGGGGAGAGAGGGGUAAGGGUU
RNAcentral lists this long non-coding RNA (3192 nucleotides) under Portunus trituberculatus (swimming crab). Its description in RNAcentral is "uncharacterized LOC123500910". Lineage: Eukaryota; Metazoa; Arthropoda; Malacostraca; Decapoda; Portunidae. The record is from RNAcentral.